Neopsephotus bourkii (Bourke's parrot) is the source of this 1634-nucleotide long non-coding RNA. RefSeq lists it as uncharacterized. The record is from RefSeq and is a predicted model, not a curated record. NCBI's taxonomy places the organism in Eukaryota, Metazoa, Chordata, Aves, Psittaciformes, Psittacidae. The transcript is spliced from 6 exons.
GGCAGGAGGGGAAUAGCCCUGUGAAGGCUCUUGCUGGAGAUCAGAUAGCUGGCUUAGUACAAAGGUUAUGGUGAUUGCUACUUCUGCCAUGUAAAUAACAUCUUCCCCCCAGAGAUGCUGGAAGCAGCCCAGGAGCACUUGGAGCAGCCCCCGAGACCCUGGGAGGAGCCCCAGAGCAUCAGGAGUGACCUGAGAGGACCCUGGGCAGACACGUACAUGGCUCAUCCCCCACACUGGAAGCCAGAAUGCAGGAGGUUUAUGCAGUUCGGUUUGAGAUAGCUGAGUAAUGCACAGGCUUUAGGGUCCAGAUUUAUCCCACCUAAUUAUAGACAUUGAUUUCAAAAGCUAACUCGGGGCUGUGCUCAUACCAAGAGUCAGUGGAAAGGGGUGGCUCUGCCCAUUCCAGCUCUGCAUAGCACUCUAACAACACCUUUCUGCUCUCUGUAAAGGUGUUUAAAGUGCCCGAAUCCAAAAUCUCAGUAUCUCUGAGGUAUCAAAGGCAGCCAGGAUGAAUCUGGAUCAGACUUGCUGAAGAUUUCAUACAAGGCUGUAAUCAUUCAGUAAAGACAGCUUUUCCUCCAGGAUGCAAUGCCAUCGCUUCAGAGUAACAUUCAAAAGGAAUUCUGGCUUAUUCCCGAUUACAAAGAGACUGGAACAUCGUUUGUGUUUUGCUGUCUAGGAAAGCACACUCAGCAAAAAUUCUCAUCAAGACAUACUCAAAACAGCAUUAGGCAGCUCCUGUGCUCAUGGAAAACCAGAAUGGAGCAGGGAGAGCCACUGCAGGGGUGGCUGGAGGUUUGCUGGUACAAGUGCUGCUGCAGUUAAUGCAGUGAAAUGCCAGUUCUGAGCUCUCUGUGAGGAGGAACACAGCCAAGCUGCCAGGAAUCUCCAUGGAGAGCUGCUGGAGCUCUGACUGUCUCACCCUGUGACUUCUAAUGCUGUGGCAACCAAGCAACCGGAUUAGUGUGUAGCCGUAGAGGCACUGCUGCAGAUUGCCAGCUAUGGUUGGAAAGCAGUUGGGGUAGCAGAGGAGAGAAGAAUCCUACCCAUAUGGGGAGGUAAAAUCUGAAGCCCUGAGUUUGAGAGGGACACUGCAGAGUGAAUGUGAGUAGAAGCCUGCCUCCAGAAUGGAAGAGAUAAUGGUGUUGGGUCGUCCCAGGUUUAUGACAACACUUAAGUAUGACCUGGGAAGAGAAAGAUAAGCACCAUCAAGACUGCCCAGCCCAAGCCCAGUGCACUGGGAGCCCUUAUGCUGGGGGCUGCAGCUCGAGGCUUGCCUGAGUCCCUCCUACCUUCUUCAGAUGGUUGGAGCAAAAAACACAUCAAAGAUGUAGACAUGUCUUUCAUCAACUGAAUACCAGCAGCCAGGUUAUCUGAAGUCAUUUUCUGUCUGCCUUCCACUGGGGAGAAAGUGCCUUCAGGGUAUCUCAUUGUGUACCCUGAAAGUACGCAGCAAAACAGCUCUGGAGUAAACAGAGGCAAACCCAGCACCCCCCAUCCUCCUCACUGGGACAUGCUUAUGCACAAUAAACCGCCCCCCUGUGAUCUCUUGCCAAGAAUAACAUAGACAGUCUAUUAAAACGUCUUUAAUACCAUGAUAUAAUUAAAAAUAUCUAAUGUGCAACUCCAAGAAA